CCAAUAGCGUAUAUUAAAGUUGUUGCAGUUAAAAAGCUCGUAGUUGAAUUUUGGGUCUGGCCGGGCGGUCCGCCCUCUGGGUGAGCACUGUUCCGACGCCGGGCCUAUCCUUCUGGUGAGUCGGCAUGUCCUUUAUUGGGUGUGUCGGGGAACCAGGACCAUUACCUUGAAAAAAUUAGAGUGUUCAAAGCAGGCGUAUGCUCGAAUACAUUAGCAUGGAAUAAUGAAAUAGGACGCGUGGUGCUAUUUUGUUGGUUUCUAGAACCGCCGUAAUGAUUAAUAGGGAUAGUUGGGGGCAUUAGUAUUCAAUUGUCAGAGGUGAAAUUCUUGGAUUUAUUGAAGACUAACUUCUGCGAAAGCAUUUGCCAAGGAUGUUUUCAUUAAUCAAGAACGAAAGUUAGGGGAUCGAAGACGAUCAGAUACCGUCGUAGUCUUAACCAUAAACUAUGCCGACUAGGAAUCGGGCGAUGUUAUUCUCAUGACUCGCCCGGCGCCUUAUG
This 500-nucleotide ribosomal RNA is filed under the name uncultured Glomeromycotina. RNAcentral's name for it is "partial small subunit ribosomal RNA". It matches the Rfam family "Eukaryotic small subunit ribosomal RNA", at positions 591 to 1092 of the family's 1831-position model. The record is from RNAcentral. Lineage: Eukaryota; Fungi; Glomeromycota.